RNAcentral lists this ribosomal RNA (253 nucleotides) under uncultured bacterium. RNAcentral describes it as "partial 16S ribosomal RNA". It matches the Rfam family "Bacterial small subunit ribosomal RNA", at positions 524 to 776 of the family's 1533-position model. The record is from RNAcentral.
UACGUAGGGUCCGAGCGUUGUCCGGAAUUACUGGGCGUAAAGCGCGCGCAGGCGGCCCGCUAGGUGUCACGUGAAAGCCCCGGGCUCAACCCGGGAGGGUCGUGGCAAACCGGCGGGCUUGAGGCCGGUAGAGGUGGGUGGAACUCCUGGUGGAGUGGUGAAAUGCGUAGAGAUCAGGAAGAACACCCGUGGCGAAGGCGGCCCACUGGGCCGGUACUGACGCUGAGGCGCGAAGGCGUGGGGAGCGAACGGG